AGGAAAAGAAACUAACAAGGAUUCCCCUAGUAACUGCGAGUGAAGCGGGAAAAGCUCAAAUUUAAAAUCUGGCGGUCUCUGGCCGUCCGAGUUGUAAUCUAGAGAAGUAAUGCCCGUGCUGGACCGUGUAUAAGUCUCCUGGGAUGGGGCGUCAUAGAGGGUGAGAAUCCCGUCUUUGACACGGACUACCAGUACAUUGUGGUAUGCUCUCAAAGAGUCGAGUUGUUUGGGAAUGCAGCCCAAAAUGGGUGGUAAAUUCCAUCUAAAGCUAAAUAUUGGCGAGAGACCGAUAGCGAACAAGUACCGUGAGGGAAAGAUGAAAAGAACUUUGGAAAGAGAGUUAAACAGUACGUGAAAUUCUGAAAGGGAAACGCUUGAAGUCAGUCGCGUUGGCCGGGGAUCAGCCUUGCUUUUGCAUGGUGUACUUUCUGGUUGACGGGUCAGCAUCAAUUUUGACCGCUGGAAAAAGACCUGGGGAAUGUGGCAGCUUCGGCUGUGUUAUAGCCCCUAGUCGCAUACAGUGGUUGGGAUUGAGGAACUCAGCACGCCGCAAGCCCGGGUUUCGACCACGUUCGUGCUUAGGAUGCUGGCAUAAUGGCUUUAAGCGACCCCUCUUGAAACACGGACCAAGGAGUCUAACAUGCCUCCGAGUAUUUGGGUGGAAAACCCAAGUGCGUAAUGAAAGUGAAAGUUGAGAUCCCUCUCGUGGGGAGCAUCGACGCCCGGACCAGAACUUUUGGGACGGAUCCCCGGUGGAGCAUGUAUGUUGGGACCCGAAAGAUGGUGAACUAUGCCUGAAUAGGGUGAAGCCAGAGGAAACUCUGGUGGAGGCUCGUAGCGAUUCUGACGUGCAAAUCGAUCGUCAAAUUUGGGUAUAGGGGCGAAAGACUAAUCGAACCAUCUAGUAGCUGGUUCCUGCCGAAGUUUCCCUCAGGA
Molecule: ribosomal RNA, 936 nt
Filed under: Agaricus arvensis
Lineage: Eukaryota; Fungi; Basidiomycota; Agaricomycetes; Agaricales; Agaricaceae
Description: eukaryotic LSU rRNA
Rfam family: Eukaryotic large subunit ribosomal RNA
Source: RNAcentral